GACGAACGCUGGCGGCGUGCUUAACACAUGCAAGUCGAACGGAAAGGCCCUGCUUUUGUGGGUUUCUCGAUUGGCGAACGGGGGAGUAACACGUGAGUAACCUGCCCUUGACUUUGGGAUAACUUCAGGAAACUCGGGCUAAUACCGGAUAGGAUCUCCUGCUGCAUGUUGGGGGAUGGAAAAUGUCGGCUGUUGUGGAUGGACUUGCGGCUUAUCAGCUGGUUGGGGUGGUAGGGGAUUACCAGGGCUUUGACGGGUAGCCGGCCUGAGAGGGUGACCGGCCACAUUGGGACUGAGAUACGGCCCAGAAGCGUACGGGAGGCAGUAGUGGGGAACAUUGCACAAUGGGCCGACGUGUGAUGCAGAAACGUCGCGUGCGGGAUGACGGGUUUCGGGUUGUAAACAGCUUUGGACUGUGACGAAGCGUGAGUGACGGUAAUGGGUCAAGAAGCACCGGCUAACUACGUG
Molecule: ribosomal RNA, 468 nt
Filed under: uncultured bacterium
Lineage: Bacteria
Description: partial 16S ribosomal RNA
Rfam family: Bacterial small subunit ribosomal RNA
Source: RNAcentral